This is a long non-coding RNA of Calypte anna (Anna's hummingbird), 401 nucleotides long. RefSeq lists it as uncharacterized. The record is from RefSeq and is a predicted model, not a curated record. The transcript is spliced from 3 exons. Lineage: Eukaryota; Metazoa; Chordata; Aves; Apodiformes; Trochilidae.
GCCCCCAUCACCCCCCUUAUCCAAGAUGGCGGCGCACCGCGCACGGGGUUUCCCCUCCCACUCUCGACGGGCGCCGGGGCUGCACAAAGAUAACGUGCAGCACCGAGAAUAGCAAUAGAGUUAAAAACAAAGUCUUCGAGGUGCUUCACACGCUAGCUACAAGCAGUAUGUCCGUGUUUCGGCCCUGCCUCAGGCUCCCUCAGGGCCUGGAAAAGGAAACCUGUGGUGCUUGCUGAGGUGCGGUGGUUCCUCCCGGGUGGUUCCAGCAGGAGCCUGGCAGGGCACAGGUACACAGGACAGAGCUUCAAACACAACCAUGGGAGGAAUGAAUCAUGUGUACCAAGCAGAUGAGCCAGAAAGUCCAUGUCUUCACAUGUCUACUGUUACAACUCCACUGCCAA